ACGAGUUUUAAUUGUUAGGUUAGAGUUGAGCUGGUUAAUCUAAUUAAUAUGUGCUUACUCUAAUCGAAACAAGUCCAUCAUUACUUAACACUUGUGAACUUAUUCAUUACAACAUUAUUAUUUGUUAUUGAACGUUUGAUUAUUAAAAAGUUUAAUA
Molecule: unclassified non-coding RNA, 157 nt
Filed under: soil metagenome
Description: partial internal transcribed spacer 1
Source: RNAcentral